This 497-nucleotide ribosomal RNA is filed under the name uncultured bacterium. Its description in RNAcentral is "partial 16S ribosomal RNA". It matches the Rfam family "Bacterial small subunit ribosomal RNA", at positions 28 to 507 of the family's 1533-position model. The record is from RNAcentral.
GACGAACGCUGGCGGCGUGCCUAAUACAUGCAAGUUGAGCGAUGAAGAUUGGUGCUUGCACCAAUUUGAAGAGCAGCGAACGGGUGAGUAACGCGUGGGGAAUCUGCCUUUGAGCGGGGGACAACAUUUGGAAACGAAUGCUAAUACCGCAUAACAACUUUAAACAUAAGUUUUAAGUUUGAAAGAUGCAAUUGCAUCACUCAAAGAUGAUCCCGCGUUGUAUUAGCUAGUUGGUGAGGUAAAGGCUCACCAAGGCGAUGAUACAUAGCCGACCUGAGUGGGUGAUCGGCCACAUUGGGACUGAGACACGGCCCAAACUCCUACGGGAGGCAGCAGUAGGGAAUCUUCGGCAAUGGACGAAAGUCUGACCGAGCAACGCCGCGUGAGUGAAGAAGGUUUUCGGAUCGUAAAACUCUGUUGGUAGAGAAGAACGUUGGUGAGAGUGGAAAGCUCAUCAAGUGACGGUAACUACCCAGAAAGGGACGGCUAACUACGUG